UUGUGUCAACCAACCAUAUCAAUAUAUCAUCCCCUGCAUGCAUUAUCAGUCUUUAGGAAGAGGGACGACCAUGGGUGCCAAGCUCCUCCUCGUUGUCUUUCUCGUCAUCACCACUGCCGGCCAUCCCAUCUGGGCGCAGGAGGGAAUCACGCAAGAAACAGCUGAUCUUGUGCAGCAGACAAUCGAGGCUGGAUUGCAGACCUUGUCUGGGACGGUAAAAGCAGGACUGGCAGCUACAGCCACGACGGUGAGGGCGCUUCUGCUCGACGGGGUGAUCGGGUAGCCUAUAGCGGCAGCACCGGUGGCGAUGAUGGGACCUACUGCGAUAGCCGAUGGGACAAAUCCUUAGUUAAGUACUUGCAUAAUCAGUUAUUAAUAAAUAACUGCUUAUAAUAAGCUUGUUAUGGAGUACUCUGAACUUAUCCUCGCAUUGCAUAUAUACGGUGGUGACCUAACCACUCACAUGUGUGCACUGCAUGUAUCCCUAUAGAAUGAUGAAUAUCUAUAUGUAAUUAUGUAUGGUGUCAUAUCCACUAAUAAAAUGGUAAGCGCGCGCUAGUCUAGUGGUGGUUGCCUUCGGCAUGGUGUGUACUACUUGCCAAGAGGCAGAUCGAAGUAUAUUGUUGAGUUUGUCUUCCCCAUGAUGUCUCAUUUGUAUAGCCACCAAACCAAGUUUCAAAGGCUGUGGUUUGACAGAACAUCGACACCAUUGUGACGCUAAAACUUAAAUUCUCUAGCGACAACAGUGAAAAAGAUUGUUCGAAAAAAGAACAGCGAAAAAGAUGGGCAAACUGAGAAAAAGAAAAGACAGGCCACUAUAUAAAAAGGCGUUAAAUUCACACCCCCAUACAGAUGCCAUCACGUGCGCAUAUCUGCAGUAGCACUACUAUAAACGCGUUAUAUUAAAGGGCGUCUCUAGUAACUGGCCGAUAGGAGUCGCUGGCCCGGCGAGAUCAACAAGCAUCUAUAAUAAGAUGCGUGUAGUGAGGUCUGAGGCUAUGGACGCAUUUCAGGUACAUACAUCGGUAAUAACAUCUCUUAUUAUAGAUGCGUGUUAUCGUAUAAACUCUUGUUCACAACACAUGUUUGAGUAACAUCUCUUAUUGCACACACAUAUGGUUUUGCAGAUGCUUGUUUACAACACACGUCUCGAGUACUUGUACUUGUACCAGACAUGUGUUCUGUACACGUGUCUAUAGUAAACGUGCAUCAAUAUUAAACCCUAAACGCGUCUCUGGUAGUAAUAAUCGCCAGCAUUUCAAAGCUCGACAGGGUUCUCAACAGAGGUACCAAGGACCCGUUAGUCAAUGGAACCAUAGUCAGUAUUCUCAACGUUUCUAGAACUAGUAGCAGAAUGGAAAUCAAGGCUCUCAGUUUCUACAACGUAACUCUUACAAGCAACAGAGUGGUCAGCAGACACCCCGUUUAGAGAAUUCUAAUACCACUCCUAUGAAGAAUAGUGCUCCCAACACUCCAAACAUGUGUUUCCACUGUGGGAAGGAGGGACAUAUGUCUUAUAAAUGUCUAAAGAAGCCCAAUCAGCAGAACAACAACCAGAGGUCUACUCCCAAUGCGGGAAGAGUCAACCAUGUGUCUGCAGAUAACCCCUACAAUUGUUUUUAAUUUUGGAGCUUCGCAUUCAUUUAUUUCAUAGGCAUUUGUGAAAGCAUCUAGGCCCCUAAUGAGUUUCGGUGACUAAUGACAAUGUAGAUUACUAUGACUAGUGUGUGUUUUGCAGAGGUAAAGUCAUUUAUGUUAAGUCAUGGUAAUGGUGAUCGAUGGACUAGAUCGUUCAUGCCGACUUAAUGGUGGAAAUCAUUUUGGUUUUUAAAGGAUGGAUGGACAUCGUCGGGACUAGACUAGGUCUAGGUGCCAUAUGGUGAAGAUGGGCACUUAGAGUAGUUUAGGACUUUGUUUUUCCUUUGACCAUACUAUUAACAGGGGCAUUUAGCGGGUAGCUUGACCCAAGCAAGGCUUUAUGUUUAGGUGUGGUGUACACUUGGUAAACCUAGUACUAGGCAGCUCUGAGAAAGUCCUUAGAUCAACAAAUUUUGUUUUAGAAAGAUCGCGUUUCGACGAAGUUUGGGUGCCGAAACAGGCACCAGACGCUAGCACCGGACGCUUUGUGAGCGCGUCCGGUCGUGCUGACUUGGGUCAGCGGGUCUGGGUGCCUAGGGUUAGGCACCGGACGCACGCAACGGACUCGUUGGGGUGCGGCCGGUCCCAUACCCUGGGAGGUCUGCACUUUGACCUCACAUCGGACAUGGGCACCGGACCCACCGUGGUGCGUCCGGUCCCAUACCCACAGAGUAUUGCAGCUUGCCCCUCACACCGGAUGCGGUCUAGCUGAGUCACCGGACACACUGAGAGUGCAUCCGGUGCUUGUCAGAGGCAAGUACAUUUAGCCGUUAAUGGGGCACUAUACGCUCUACGCAGCGUGUCCGGUGCAACAUUGAGCGCGUUUGGUGCUCCCGUUUUCUGUGGAAUUCGGGUGGCCGGCCCUUGGACUUGAUGGGGAGUAUUUAUACUUCUCCACCUCGUCCAUGGGAGGUCUCUUGCCCAUUUGAUCAGCUGAGAAACACCUUGUGGUUCAAGGGAGAAGCAAGAGCCUAGAGAGGAUUGAGAAUUGAGUGAUUUCUUGAGUGAAUCCUUCUCUAGUUGAGUUCCAAGAGUUCAAGUGUGCAUCCACCACUCUCUAGAGCCUUGUUUGGGUCAAGUGAGAGUUCUUUGCUUGUUACUCUUGGUGAUCGCCAUCACCUAGACGGUUAGGUGGUGAUUGGAGGCACGAAGACCGCCCGAAGUACUUGUGGGUGGCUCGUGUCAAGCUUGUGAGCGGUUUUGGGCGAUUCACCGUGAUGGAGUGUUGAAGAAUCAGCUCGUAGAGAGCACUUGGUCCUUGCACGGACCAAGGGGGAGCAAGGCUCUUGCACGAGUGCUCCAACGAGGACUAGUGGAGAGUGGCGACUCUCCGAUACCUCGGCAAAACAUCGCUGCGUUCUUCUUGCUCUCGUCUUUUACAUUCUAGCAUUUACUUUGAGCUUUUACAUUUCUAGAAUUGCCAUGCUAGAAUAGGAUUGGAACUAGGUUGCAAAACUUUUAUCUGAUUGCUCUCUAGAACACACUUAGGCACUAGGCGUUGAAUUGGAGCUUAUAGGUUGCUUAAAUUUUCAGAAAAGCCCAAUUCAACCCCCUCUUGGGCAUCUUGAUCCUUUCAAUUGGUAUCGGAGCCUAGUGCUCAUUACUUAGGCUUCACCAUCUAGAGAAAGAUGUCUAACAGGGUACAUCUAUGUACACCGUAAGGGGUGCCGGAACACCAUUAAUGAAAAAAACAGAAAGCCAGUGAUUAUAAUUAAAUUUUCACCAUAUUCGCACACUACCAUUACGCUUACUCUAGCUCUGCCCCUGCAUGCAGAAGUGUAUAAAUCAGAUGGAGUGUAGGCAGUAUAUAUGCCAGUAAAUUGGCUUGAUUUCGAGGAGGCAAGAUGAAUGUCUACAAUAACUUUUUUGUAAAGGUUGGAAAAAUAAUUUUGAAAGGUGGGUUUUUUGUGUCCAACUUUAUCAAAAUCAUUUUUAGAGGCGCCUCCUUUUUUGAUAGAGAUGGUUCUAUUGAAAUCUGCCUCUGAAAAUAGUUUCUGAGCCGACCAUAUCUAGGACUCAAAUUUUUAGAGAUGACUUUAUUUUCAGAGGUGGCUCAUAAUUUGGCUCUCGUCUAAAAAUAGGUAGACCAAAGUAAUGUUACUUUUUGACAAUCAAGUCGAAUGAAUACUAUUUUAAUAACUUUUUUCUUUUUUCUCGAAAACAUAGGAGAGUUGUGCUUUAUUGUAUUAAGAGGAAGUAAGUUGCUGGGCAUUACAUCUCACACCAGAAACCCACCAUAAUUAUUUUUUUACAUUCGCGCCUUGGAUAAAGAAAAAUCCGACCUUCUACUAAUGUAACCCUAAUCUCCAGGGAGGGGCAGUCGAUAGGGAUAAUCCUUGAUCCCCUGCCAUCACCCAGAGACCUCUUUCUUCACCAAAAGUAUUCAAUGUCAGACUACACAAUACUUUUGCGAGGAGGGAAAAAUCAAUUUACCGAUGUGGUUUUCACAACCGCCUCGGACCAAAGAUCACUAUUAAUAGACCCUUUUCCGAGACGGUUUGAUGCCCGCCUCAGUUAGUCGCAUAGAAAAAACAAAAAAAAUAUGGAUAAGCCCACAGAGCCCAUCCACGGGAAACUGCUGCCACUACUUGCCGGUGGUGCUUCUCCACUGCCGAUGGAGCCAUGGAGCGAGGGGAGGAGGCCGGAUCUGCUGUUGUAGGCCACGUCUCUGCUGGAUGCGUGCCAUGGUGGCUCCAUCCGUCGGAUCUGCGAUGCUACCAGCCAUCGGAUCCAUGGAGGGAGGGGAGGAGCCUGGAUCCACAGCUGCUGGGCUCCAACCCGCCGGAUCCGCAACCGUAGGCCACAUCUCCGCCGGAUCCGCACCGUGGUGGCUCCAUCCCGACAGAUCCAUGACGCCACCCGCCGCUAGAGCCAUCGAGGGAGGAUUGUGUCGUUGUGAGCUAUAAGUUGGUGUUGAUGUUUGUCAUAUCAUAUGUUUCUGUAUUUUGUAGUUUAAAUCUUAAUUUGAUUAAUAUUAUGCAUAUAGUUUUAUAAUUGAAAUCAUUAUAGGUUUUCUACCAUUUUAUAUAUAAAUAUCAAUAUGAUUAUUAAUUGCUAGUAUCAAUAUGAUUUUUAAAUAUUAAUUUUCAUAGCUUAAACAUGCAUCAUAUAUAGGUUGUUUAGAUGUUCUCGCAAACUUAUUUAUUUUGCAAAGUUUAAGCUUAAUAAAUUACAUGAUAAUAUUUAUAUGAUGAAAUAUGGUUAGCUCAACUUGAUUUAAAUGAUCUAAUUAAUAUGAGACAUGUUUAUAAAUAAAACAUGAUGAUUAAUUUUAAACCUAACUCUAAUUUAAUACAUGAUCACUAAUCUGAAUUAAUAUUAUCGGUACUUAAAAUAAAUUAAGCAUGUGUACUUUUCAUUUAUAAUAUACUUGGUAGUUUUUUAUUUUCAAUCAUAGCCCUGUUCUCAGUGUUUUUUGUGUACUCAUGACUAUAGUAAUUAGUUCUCCUUUAGUACAUUGUUUUCUCUUGUGAGGUGUAUUGUUCUUAGUUGUUUCUAUUUGUUACAUGUAUAUUUGCUUACGUGUGGUGCUUGUUAUGAGUAGACAAGAACUAUUUGUGGGCGCUAAAGAUCAGAAGGUGAUGACCGAAAGUUGAUGGUAUGAGAAUUGAGCAAGUGUUUAAGACAAGUGUAGCUUGGGAUUAUCCUUUCACCUAUACACUCUUAAUCAUUUAAUCAUACAUGUGUCGGCGUCUAGACUCGUCGUCUAGACACUAACGAGUAAUAAGUAUGCGCGUCCUCCUAAACCCGAAUGGUGAUGCAAGGGAAACACAGGGAGUUAUACUGGUUCGGGCUAAGAAUGCCCUACGUCUAGUGUGAGAGUUGGUGUCUGUAUUGCCUUGCACCCGAGAGUGCUUGUAGUAGGGGUGUACAAGCUGGUUGCGAGAGAGGGCUAAGUCCCAAGUCUCGGCUUUGAGGAGUGGGCAGAGUUGUACUCGUUACUCUAGUGUGAAAUGUUGUCUGUUGUUUGAGUGUGUGUUGUUGUCUUGCCUUGGGUUCUCGUGGUCCUUUUGAAGUGUGUCCUGCCUCCCCUUUUAUAGCCGCAAGGGGACACAGGGCUUUUACAUGUGUUGGUUUCUAAUUUAUCUCUAGUAAAUGGUGAAGUAGCAGUGCCGACCCUGUGGAGGUUUGCCCAUCCCGUCCUUGGGGGUAUGGUUAACGGCGUGGUUGCUUCUGUGGAGAGUUGCCGAGCCCUGUUGAAGUCGUGGUGGUCGGGUCCGUGACAUUGCAACACGUCCUGCAACAGUAGGGAAAUGACAGCCACAAUGACAGGGGUUAACUCUUCCCAUGCCUCCUUUUCCUGUGAGGUGAUACUUCACAGUGAAAGAGGUAAGGCUCCACAGUAACAGGAGUGGUUGGAAUAGUUGCCGUCACACCCUGCUGCAGCAUGGGGGAUAUGGCGAGCGUCACAUCAGAGGUACAGUCGUCGUGCAUUAGAAGCCUGACUCCGAGACACAGGCUCGGGCGAGGCGAUGUUUGCGCCCGAGCCUAGGAGGGGUCGGGCGAGACGGAACUUGCGCCCGAGCCCUGGGUGGUUUUGAGCGUUCGCCUUAUCCCUUUUUGCGAUUUUUAUUCCCUUAAUUUGGGUAUCCUGUUUUAUGGUACCCAACAACAUGUGUCUAUUUCGCCAACCAUAGUGAAAUCACAGUUAUUUGAUAUCUUGAAUACCUUGUCACCCUUGGGUCAUGCAUUGGGUAAUAUUUGCUAGUGUUUGAUAUAACCAUGAUCUUGUAAGAUGAUUAAUAAUUAUGCAAUAAAUGUUAAAAGAUGGCUUUUAACUAUGUAAGAUCUUAUCUGUACGCGAUUUACGGUAUAACUAUGAAGGCUAUAUGGCUCUGGCAUUAGCCUAGUCUGGGGGUAUAAACCCCUAUACCCUUACGGCUAGGCUUGGGCCAGAAAAUUUGGCCCAUUACGAGACAGCUGGAGGCUUGAUCCAACUACCUAGAGUUUUACGCAAAGAAACAAGACGUGGGGAUCAAGCAGGAUUCUAGUCGGUUAGAAUAGGAAUUAAUAUCAUACUAUUUAAGGUCACUUCUGUCCGGAGUCGCCGGAGUCAGGCUUCACCACGACCCAGUGUGCAUCGCCGCAAUUACUCGCUGGACGCUUUUCAGCAAAGGAACAAUAACGACAACCGCAACAAAGAGGCUCAUAGUGACGGCCGUGGUCGGGACACCGGCCGCAAUCAUCGUGGUCAUAGGCCGAGGCACGACCACAACCUAGAAGUAAAUCAAGGCGAGACUACGAUCUCCGACAAAAUCUUUCCUGCAAAGACGCCCGUGAGCGCAUCAACAGACGCGCCAACAAUAGAGCCGCACACGAAAACGUGCGCCGUAUCGAGUACGAUGUCAUACACGACCCUCCUGGUUUGAAGCAAUUCUCCUAACAUCUUCAGCAAGUUGUCUGGCCGCGCAACUUUAAACUGCAGAAGCUCAAAAAGUACGAUGGCAAGGAAAACCAUAAAAAUUGGGUCACUCUUUACGAGAGCACAUGAUGUCAAAUUAUUUCCCAGUCGUCCUCGAUCAAGCCGGUCACCAGUGGCUCCUCGGUUUGCUUGAAAAUUCAUUCGAUUCAUGGGAAGAGCUAUGACAGGCGUUCAUCGACAACUUCAUCGCUACUUGUGAGCAGCCAAGAAACAAAUACGACCUCGAGAGAAUACGGGAUCGCAAAAACGAAUCGUUACACGAUUACAUCCGAUGUUUCUCGGAUAUGCGUCUCAAGAUCCCAAAAAUCUCCCACGACGAGGCAAUUUCCGCUUUUAUCAAAAGGUCUUUGUUUUCACAAAGCCUUACAGAGCAAGCUACUGCGCAAGAGGCCGAGCACGGUCACUGAGCUCCUCGCCAUGGCCAAAAAUUAUGCCAACGCCGAUGACGCAGAAAAGCUUAUGAGAGAAGACAUUAGAGGAACCCAACAAAAUGAGCAGCCUCCUUGACGAGACGAUACUCGAGACAACUGCGGAUGUUUCGACAACCGCUGUAACACCCGGCCUAGGGCUUAAUAGGACUAAUAGGAGACUCAUACCAACAAGUUGCAACUUCUUUUCUGUAAGCCCAUCUCCAAAGAACUCUAAAGUUAAGCGUGCUUGGCCUAGAGAAAUUUAGGAAUGGGUGACCAACCAGGAAGUACUUCUCAGGUGCGCAUGAGUGAGGACAAAGUGUCCAGAAAAGACUAGUGUUGGUCUGUGGAGACUGACUAUAUCCUAGAAAAGCUGCCAGAUGUAAGUGGGCCCGGCCUCGUGGAGGCAGGACAUUACAGAAUGGUAUCAGAGCUGACUCUCGUAGUUUCAUGGGCACGUGUGUCGAAGUUGCGCAGGCAUGGUGUGCAUGGCUAGUGUGGACCCGGAGUGGUCACACAGCAUGGCUCAUGCGCUGGCACUUGAUGCACGGACGUGGCCAUGAGGGGACGUUCCUAGCUUGGGGUUGAUCGACGAGGACGUCGAUCUCUUAAGGGGGUGAGGAUGUAACACAUGGCCUAGGGCUUAAUAGGAUUAAUAAGAAACUCAUACUAACAAGUUGCAACUUUUUUCUGGAAGCCCAUCUCCAAAGAACUCUAAAGUUAAGCGUGUUUGGCUUAGAGAAAUGUAGGGAUGGGUGACCGACCGGGAAGUAUUUCCCGAGUGCGCACGAGUGAGGACAAAGUGUGCAGAAAAGACUAGUGUUGGUCUGUGGGGACUAACUAUAUCCUAAUCGCGACCACCGACAAGGGUGGGAUAGGCACUGCGACCAUCGUGAUGACUUUAGGGGCAAACGACCUCGCGACAAUGACCAUGAGGUCAACACGGUCAGGCAGUUCACUGGUCGAUGUGAUUAUCAGGAAGACUACAAUAAAACCUUGAAGGGGUCAUGCCAACUUCACCCCAAGUCCAACCACACAAUGGAAGAAUGUUGUGUCCUCAAGAGCAUUUACACGUAGUAGGUCAUCCAAGGCGACACCGCUAAACCGACGGGAAAGCGCGAUAGGCGCAACCAGGAGGACGAGGACGAGGACCAGGACCCAUGCCAUCAAUACGUCAAUCCACUUGAUGUUGUCCACUCCAUCUUCGGUGGGAAAGUCUCAAUUGAGUCCAAGAGGGAGAGGAAACUCCUUAAAAGAGCCUGCUUGAACGUGGACAGCUCUGACGGCUUAAUCGCCGACCCAAAGUUUCCCCCUGGUCCCACCGAGAGAUAUCUUUCAGCAGACAAGAUCAAUGGGCCACCAUCCCCGAGCCAGGGCGCUUCCCCAUGAUCUUGUAUCCGUGCAUCAACAGUGUCAGAUUUGAACACGUGCUCGUAGAUGGUGGCAGUUCCAUUGAUAUCCUAUUCUACAACAGUCUUCCUGCCCUUAAACUAACCCAAGCAUAGUUGAAGCCGUACAAGGCCCAGUUCUAGGGCGUCCUACCAGGCCAAAGUUCAAUUCCUCUCGGCCAGAUAACGCUUCCCGUGAAAUUUGGAACUCUAGACCACUUUUGCAUUUAGUUUGUAAACUUUGUGGUCACCGACUUCAACGGAACAUACGAUGCCAUUCUGGGUUGUCCGUCACUCACCAAAUUUAUGGCGGUUCCGCACUAUUCAUAUUUAGUGCUCAAGAUGCCAAUAGAAAAGGGAGUCCUCACGAUCAAGGGCAACGUCUACACGGCAUACACUUGUGAGGAGGAAAGCUUCAAGGUCACUGAAGCCAUCGACCUCUCGAUCCGGCUGGCAGAAACAGUAUCCCAGGCAACGAAAGCACCCCUCGACUAGUUCGAAGUGCCCGAGCAGUAGGCCUCAAGGAAGAACAUCAAGUCCAGGGAGCACAAGGAAGUCCGACUGGUCGACAACAAUCUCGAGAAGACAGCUCUCAUCAGAGCCAAUUUGGAUCCUAAAUAGGAAGACGCACUCGUUAGGUUUCUGAGGGACAACGUAAGCGUUUUUGCAUGGAAACUCGCAGACAUGCUCGGUGUCCCCUGCCACCUGAUCGAGCACUCCUUGAACAUCGCGAAGACCGCAAGACCAAUCAAGCAGAGAUUAUGACGGUUCGCUCGUGAUAAAAAGGAGGCCAUUAGGACAGAGGUUACACGGCUUUUAGCGACCGGAUUUAUUAAAGAAGUGUAUCAUCCCGAUUGGUUAGCCAAUCCAGUACUUGUAAGAAAAAAGAAUAAUGAAUGGAGAAUGUGCGUUGAUUACACCGAUCUCAAUAAUCACUAUCCUAAGGACCCCUUUGGUCUCCCUCACAUAGACGAGGUGGUUGACUCAAUGGCUGGAUGCGAAUUACUCUCUUUUCUUGACUGCUACUCUGGUUAUCACCACAUCUGUUUAAAGGAGGACGAUCAGAUUAAGACCUCCUUUAUCACCCCCUUCAGGGCAUAUUGCUACACGACCAUGUCCUUCGGGCUAAAAAACACGGAAGCUACAUAUCAACAUGCCAUCCAGCAGUGUCUCCAUGACAAGAUACAUGAGGACGUGGUCGAGGCCUAUGUAGAUGACAUCGUCAUAAAAACUAGGGACGCCAGCACUCUGAUCGACAACCUUGACCGGACUUUCCAGGCACAGAACAGAUAUAAAUGGACACUUAACCCCAAAAAAUGUAUUUUCAGGGUUUCCUCCGGCAUACUGCUCGGCAUAAGCCCAAAUCACUCUAAAGUCAAGGCAGUUCUUGACAUGCGACCACCAAGUGUGGGGGUAUAAACCCCUAUACCCUUACGGCUGGACUUGGGCCAGGAGGCUUGGCCCAUUACGAGACGAGUCCAAAGCUUGAUCCGACAACCUGGAGUUCCGCGCAAGGAAACAAGAUGUGGAGAUCAAGCAGGAUUCUGGUCGGUUAGAAUAGGAAUUGAUAUCGAAUUAUCCAUGGCAAUUGUAACCGACUAGGAUUAGUUUCCAGAUCUGUAACCCUGCCCUCCAGACUAUAUAAGGAGGGGCAAGGGACCCCCUAGGACACAUCAUAUUCUCUCAACACAAAUCAAUACGACCAGACGCAGGACGUAGGUAUUACGCCAACUCGGCGGCCGAACCUGGAUAAAAAGCUUGUCCGUGUCUUGCGUCACCAUCGAGUUCGUAGUUUGCGCACCGUCUACCGAUAAACUACUACCGUGGGUAUACCCCAAGGUAGACUGCCGACUAGCUUUCGUCGACAGUGGCGCGCCAGGUAGGGGGUGUGCGUGCAACUUUUCCGGCGAACAAGAUGGUCACGAUCCCAGCUUCCGCGACCGUGCCCGAAGGCCUCACGUUCACCGUCGGCCAGAUCACGUGGACGACGUGCAGCGGCGGCUUCGCGACCACGGUUCCGAAGGAGAUCCAGAUCCAAUCUGAGAUCACGCCGUCUCCGACCACACGCAUGACGGCACCAAGCGCCCGACCACCGUUCCCACUCUACAAGGGAAAGGAGAUCGACUGCUCGGACCUCCUCCAAGCGCUCGAUCGCACUGACUCCAAGCUACUCGAAGUCUCCCAACUAAUAGAUGGAGUUCUGCGCCGGCCCGACCAAGCUGCUCGAGCGGAUUUUUCGAAAUCCCGCCGGCCAACUCGUGUCGCCACACACGAACGGCUGGGAACGUCCCUGACGAUAACCUCAACCCCCUCAGGACGAUCCGUCGAGCUCAAAAAGGAAGACUAUCCUCGCGGCCUGAACAACUCGGCCUCUGUUUACUCACAGCAUGUCCAAUCCGUUUUCAGCAAGGCGGGUUGGUCGCCGACAAGGAACAAUCGUCACCAUGUCAACAUGGUGACAAUCCGAGAGCUACGGGACGGCCAGGUUUCCAGCACCAACUCAAGCACCGGCUCCGUCCCCACCGAGGUUAUAAACACCGAAGACGAGGGCUACGACCUGGAUUUUCCUUCACACCCUCCGGGUUUCGACCGAUUCCCGAUAUUCCCCCCCCCCCCGGCGAGGGGAUAUUGUGUUCAAUGUCAGCGCCGACGAACCGGCUGUUGACGGAGAAACAGAUGACCAGAGGCAACUCCGCGAACAGCGUAACGCCGAUCGUGCCCGACGGCGUGCGGACGAGCAACAACAGAUGCCACCAAGUAACCUCAACGAUGCCUUUGACAUGGUCGGGUACCAGCCAGUCUACAAAACGCCAAGCGCCAACGUGGCUGUCGCCAUGGCCAACCUGGAUCGGCUUCCUGACACCCCCGAAUGCCAGGGAGUCCGGACCAGCAUCCGAGCACACCUGAUCGCCGCAAUGGGACAGACAGCCACUCUACUCAAGAGAGUCCAGGACGUCUCUUAUACGGAAGCCGCCUCCGACCAGACUAAUCGUAGCCAGGUCUCACCCAGCAGGCGUCACCGCAGCCGCUCCCCCGACAACCGUCGAGGGGACUCGCGGCGCGACGAUGGUGGUCGGGACGCCGAUGGCCGCCGCAAGCAAAUUCAUGGCAUACGCGGCCAAGAAGAAGAUCAACACAGGGAUCUCCGCCACAACAUCCCUCCCAAAGAUGCCCGGGACCGCAUCAACAGGCGCGCCGCAGAGAGAGCAGUCCACGAAAACCUGCGCCGCAUCGAGUACGAUGCGACCCACGGUCCUCCAGGCCUAAGACAGUUCUCCUCACACCUCCGCCAGGUCGUGUGGCCCCGCAAUUUCAAGCUCGAAAAACUUAAAAAAUACGACGGCAAGGAAAAUCCAGAGAACUGGAUCACUCUCUAUGAAAUCGCCGUCCGAUCAGCGGCAGGAGAUGAGCACGUCAUGGCUAACUACUUCCCCGUAGUCCUCGACCAGGCUGGUCAUCAGUGGCUUCUCGGCUUGCCCGAGGACUCCUUCGACUCUUGGGAAGAGCUACGCCAGGCUUUCAUCGACAACUUCAUCGCCACAUGCGAGCAGCCCGGAAAUAAGUAUGACCUUGAAAGGAUAAGAGACAGGAAGAAUGAACCUCUGCGCGAUUACAUUCGACGAUUCUCGGAUAUGCGCCUCAAAAUCCCGAAGAUUUCUCAUGACGAGGCCAUAUCAGCCUUUAUCAAGGGCUUGCGUUUCCAUGAAGCGCUGAGGAACAAGCUGUUGCGUAAGCGCCCAUCAACGGUAGCAGAGCUCCUCGCCACGGCUAAAAAUUACGCCGAUGCUGAUGACGCAGAAAAACUAAUCCGAGACGAUGCGAGAGGCCCCGACCAGCCUUCCCGGCGAGAUGACGGUCGUGGUCGCUACGACAACAGAAAUCACCGCCGCUCUGACAACCGCGAUCACCGAGAGGGUUGGGAUCGGCGGCGCGACAGCCGCGACGACUUCAGAGGAAAGCGCCCUCGCGAAUACGACCACGAAGUAAAUACGGUCAAACGUCCCAAUGGACGACGGGACUACCAAGACGACUACAACAAAACGUUGAAGGGACCGUGCCAGCUACACCCAAAGUCUAACCAUACCAUGGAAGAGUGCCGCGUCCUUAAAAGUAUCUAUACACGGCGGGCCGCCCAAGAGGACUCCGCCAAGAAAAAUAACAAGCGCGACGGGCACGACCACGAAGAUGAGGAUGAGGACCAAGACAGGGACCCCCGACACCAAUACGUCAGCCCCACCGACGUGGUCCACUCCAUUUUCGGGGGCAAGGUCUCCACUGAGUCCAAGCGAGAAAGAAAGAUGUUAAAGAGAGCCUGCCUCAACAUAGACAGCACGGACGGGCUGAUCGCAGAUCCGAAAUUUCCCGCGUGGUCCCACAGGGAGAUCUCGUUCAGCAGGAAGGACCAGUGGGCCGCUAUCCCAGAGCCGGGUCGUUUCCCACUGAUUCUUGAUCCCUGCAUCAAUAGCAUCAGAUUCGAGCGCGUGCUCGUGGACGGGGGAAGCUCCAUCGACAUCCUCUUCCGCAACAGCCUGCCCGCCCUCAAGAUAUCACCGGCACAACUAAAACCUUACGACGCCCAAUUCUGGGGGGUUUUGCCAGGUCAAAGUUCGGUGCCCCUCGGACAGAUAACAUUGCCUGUCCAAUUCGGCACACCCGAUCAUUUCCGGACGGAGUUCAUCAACUUCGUAGUCGCGGAUUUCGACGGGACCUAUCACGCCAUACUGGGCCGCCCAUCGCUGACAAAGUUCAUGGCAGUCCCGCACUACUCAUACCUAGUCCUUAAGAUGCCCACGGAGAAGGGUGUCCUAACCGUCAGAGGCAACGUCUACAUCGCGUACACCUGCGAAGAAGAAAGCUUCAAGAUCACCGAGGCAAUCGACCUCUCAAUCCGCAAGGCGGAAACAGCAAACCAAGCCGCACAGCUGCAUCCCGAUCAGCUCCGAUUACCUGAGCAGGAGACAGCCAGAAAGAACUCAAAAUCCAAGGAAUACAAAGAAGUGCAGCUGGUCGAAGGCAACCCCGAGAAGACAGCCCUCAUCGGGGCUAACCUGGAUCCAAAAUAGGAAGACGCGCUCGUCAGGUUUCUAAGGGACAACGUGAGCGUUUUCGCAUGGAAACCCGCAGACAUGCCCGGUGUCCCACGAAACCUGAUCGAGCACUCCUUAAAUGUCUCGAAGACCGCAAGACCAAUCAAGCAAAAACUGCGACGGUUCGCUCGUGACAAAAAGGAGGCUAUUAGGACAGAAAUAACACGGCUUCUAGCAGCCGGAUUCAUAAAAGAAGUGUAUCACCCCGAUUGGCUCGCCAAUCCGGUUCUUGUACGCAAAAAGAAUAAUGAAUGGAGAAUGUGCGUUGAUUACACCGAUCUCAACAAACACUGUCCUAAAGAUCCUUUUGGUCUUCCUCGCAUCGACGAGGUGGUCGACUCAACGGCCGGAUGCGAACUACUCUCUUUUCUAGAUUGCUACUCUGGUUAUCACCAGAUCUCGCUAAAGGAAGAAGAUCAGAUCAAAACAUCCUUCAUCACACCCUUCGGCGCAUACUGCUACACUACCAUGUCUUUCGGACUUAAAAACGCCGGGGCCACUUAUCAAAGGGCCAUCCAGCAAUGCCUCCACGACGAGAUUCGCGAUGACCUCGUCGAGGCCUAUGUGGACGACGUGGUCGUAAAAACAAGGGACGCGAGCACCCUAAUCGACAACUUAGACCGAACCUUCAAGGCACUCAAUAGGUACAAGUGGAAGCUCAACCCCAAGAAAUGCAUUUUCGGCGUUCCUUCCGGCCUACUGCUCGGCAACGUCGUCAGUCGCGACGGCAUACGACCAAACCCUUCAAAAGUCAAAGCCGUACUCGACAUGCGACCACCGAAGAACGUCAAGGAUAUUCAGAAGCUAACCGGAUGCAUGGCCGCCCUCAGUCGUUUCAUCUCAAGGCUGGGAGAAAAAGGCCUCCCUUUCUUCAAACUAUUGAAAGCGUCAGAAAAAUUUUCUUGGACAGAGGAAGCCGACGCUGCGUUCACUCAGCUUAAGACCUUCCUCACUUCACCACCUGUCCUCACAGCGCCUCAGCCCAAUGAAGACCUACUCCUUUACAUUGCUGCAACCGACAGGGUUGUUUCCACGGCAAUAGUGGUCGAGCGAGAUGAACCAGGUCACGUCUUUAAGGUCCAGAGACCCGUUUACUUCAUAAGCGAAGUCUUAAACGAGUCCAAGGCCAGGUACCCACAAAUACAGAAGCUUAUAUACGCCAUCCUGAUAACGUCAAGAAAGCUGAAGCACUACUUCGACGGCCAUCGAGUCCUGGUGACAACCAGUUUCCCUCUCGGGGACAUCCUGCGCAAUAAAGACGCCAAUGGCAGAAUCGUGAAAUGGGCAAUGGAAUUAUGUCCAUUUUCCCUGGAGUUCCAGAGUCGCACCACUGUCAAGUCUCAAGCCCUGGUCGAUUUCAUUGCCGAAUGGACGGAUCUCAACGAGCCUUCCGUUCCCGAUGUCUCAGACCACUAGUCAAUGUUCUUUGACGGGUCCUUGAACAUCAACGGUGCAGGCGCUGGGAUAUUGUUCGUAUCACCCAACAAGGACAAACUCCGUUACGUCCUUCGGAUCCUUUUUCCGGCGUCAAACAACGUCGCCGAAUACGAAGCAUGCUUGCAUGGCAUACGACUAGCCGUUGAACUGGGGGUCAAGCGCCUCUACGUCUAUGGCGACUCCGCUUUGGUCAUCAACCAGCUCAACAAGGAGUGGGACACAACCCACGAGAAGAUGGAUCUCUACUGCAAAGAAAUUCGCAAAUGGGAAACUAACUUCUAUGGCAUAGAGUACAUCCACGUGGUCCGGGAUAAGAACCAAGUAGCAGAUGCGUUGUCAAAGUUAGGCUCAUCUCGGGCCCAAAUCCCGCGGGGUAUUUUCGUCCAGGACAUCCAUGAGCCGAGCGUAAGCUCCCCCCUGGUCGACAAGCAACCCACCGAGGCAAUGCUCAUAGGUGACGCCACUCCGACAACCGGCGGGCGUGACUGGCGUACCCCGUUCAUCAAAUACAUAUCAGACGGGACAGGCUUUCAGGACAAAACAGAGAACGAGCGCCUCAUCCGACGAUCAAAGAACUACAUCCUGGUCGACGGAAAACUCAUGCGGAAAAACGCAAGCUCCGAAGUACUGCUCAAGUGCAUACCCCAAGAUGAUGGUAUCAAGCUCUUGGAGGACAUACACGCUGGAUCCUGCGGCAAUCACGCCGCAUCUAGAACGCUGGUCGGAAAGGCUUUCCGAGCAGGUUUUUAUUGGCCAACCGCGGUCGGCGACGCAGAAAAACUGGUUCGGCAUUGCGAAGGAUGUCAGUUUUUCGCUAAGAGGACCCACGUACCUGCCCAUGAAAUUCAAACCAUCCCGUCGUCUUGGCCCUUUGCUUGCUGGGGGCUUGACAUGAUCGGACCAUUUAAACCAGCCCCGGGCAAUUUCAAGUUUGUCUUCGUGUUAAUCGACAAGUUCUCCAAGUGGAUUGAAUACAUGCCCCUGGUCAAGGCAACCUCCGAGAAGGCUGUGGAGUUUCUCAAUCAAAUCAUACACAGAUUCGGCAUCCCGACCAGCAUAAUCACCGACCUGGGCACCCAGUUUACUGGCACCACUUUUUGGGAUUUCUGCGAUGACAGAGGCAUAGUCAUAAAAUAUGUGUCAGUGGCACAUCCACGUGCCAACAGUCAAGUCGAACGUGCUAACGGAAUGAUCGUUGACGCCCUAAAGAAAAGGCUGUACACCGAAAACGACAGAGCACCCGGUCGAUGGAUGAAAGAAUUGCCGGCAGUGGUCUGGGGCCUCCGAACUCAGACCAGUCGAAACACAGGGGUGUCUCCCUACUUCAUGGUAUACGGUGCAGAGGCGGUCCUGCCGUCUGACAUACACUUCGGAUCCCCUAGAAUCGAGCACUUCGACCAGGCGACCGCCGACAACGCCAGAGAACUCGAAAUCAAUUGCAUGGAGGAAAAGCGUUUAGUUUCAUGUCUCCGAACAGCAAAAUAUCUCGCGGCAGUCAGGCGAUACUACAACAGGAACGUCAAGGACCGUUCCUUCGUGGUCGGCGAUCUGGUGCUUCGAUGGAAAACAAGCCAGGAGGGAAUGCACAAGCUAUCCACUCCCUGGGAAGGACCCUUCGUGGUGACCGAGGUCACACGACCUACGUCCUACAGAUUGGCAUACCCAGACGGAACACGAGUGCCUAACUCUUGGCACAUCGACAAACUGCGACGUUUCUAUCCAUAAAGUUUUAAUGACUUUCUUUUGUAAGUAUCUUAUAAUUUUUGAUAAUGAAAUUCUCUAUUUUUUGCCUAUACCUUGUCACACACAGCACUCGGCAAAACUCCUACAAUGGAUGCUCUUAGCGACAACCAAGACAAAUACGGUGACACGUCACUCAGAUAUUUUUACAGCGCUCAAAACAACAGUCAUGACAAAAAGUAAACUUUAUUACAAACUUUACAUACAAAGUUUACAAUAAAUACCCUGACGGGCAGACACUAGUCUAUUCCUAUAGACUACUUUAUUGGCCUAGCUGCUCGGGCUGAUCACCCGCCUGGCCCUGCUGCCCGGACGAAGGGGUCGGGGCCACCGGCGCCUGGCUGGUCGAGACCGCAGGCGUCGACCGCCCAUCUCCAGCAACGGACGCGCCCGACAACUCCCUGGCCGACCUAUCUGAGCUCGGCUGGUCUGGAGGAGUGGCCGUUCCGCACAGAUUGAUGUCGCCGAUCACUGUCGACGACAAGUCCAGCAGACUACUCCGAAGCUCGUCCGCGUCCUGCGGGCCGACUUCCUUCGGGUACCCCUUCUCCAGCCUGCUCAAGUCGACCAGGGGGUAGUGGGCGCGCACCAUGCUGAGGACGUGCGCGCCGGCAAACUCCCCGGCGUCCUUCACAAACUGCUGGAGCCAGUCCCACGCCCGUUGCACCUUCUCGACCGGGGUCAACUGCGGCGCGCGGGGCUGGCUCUCCGGGAGCUCGGGACUGAUCAGGUCUAGGACCGGGGACACUCCUUUCCAGAUCCUGCAACAGUUGACCUUCCAGGAGUCCCGGUCCUUGGUCAGAUCGUCCAGGUGCUUUUUGGCGUUCACCUUGAGCACUGCAAACGAAACGAAGCGUUAUUUUCGGCAUAAAAAAGGGGCAGGCAGUAACCAACAAGGCGGCAACCAUUACCAGAUAGCUCCCGGUCUUUUCGACCCAACUCCUCUCCUGCUCGCCGCCCGGACUCCAGCGCACCGGCGAGCUGUUGGCUGAGCUGCUCCUUCUCUUGUUGGAGGCUCGCCACCUCCUCUUCCAAGUCUGCGUGAAUCCUAAACUGGUCAGCAAAGCAAACUAUACAAGUACGCGAAGCUGCUCGGAGCGUGUGACUAACCUUCUUGCAGCCGGUACUGGUCGGCCAAACGACGAGCGAGGUCGAGACGACGCUCCUUUUCGGCACUCAUCUCGACCACCUUCUCCCUGACCUCCGCCCGCAACCGGUCUACCUCCGCGGCAAGGGCCUUGUUCUCGGCCAUGACGCCUUCUAUCUGGUCAAAGCACCGUUUCCGGUACUUCGCCGUUUUCAUUGCGUCCUACAAAGCAAGCAUAUAACGACCAUGCAAGACAAGGCAAAAGAAUGUGCAGCAGUGCAAAAAGCCGCUUACCUUGACUUCGUCGACGAGGCGCUUGGCCGCGCGCUCCACCCUGGCGGCCUCUUCGGUCUCGGCGAGCUCCUCAUGCCCGAUAAAGUGAUCCCCGCGUUGGCGCCACACAUACACGUGUUGGCGGCCAUCACGGGGACGACCCUCGAUCUCUUCCACCUCAUCAUCGGAGGCCGCCGGGGUUUCCUCCUCCUGUGCUGCGUCACCCCCGGUGGUGGUCCCAGGUAUUACUGGCCCUUGGACCAGACCUGGGGAGCCCGCAGCAGAGGAGGCUCCUGCUCGGGGCGGCGUGGGGACUUCACUCCCCCCGGCAGGAGGAGCGGUCGGAGAUCUUCCCUUCUCUGAGGAGUCAGUUGGGGGAGCCUCUCCAGCCCUGGUCGGGCUGCUUGUCGUAGUCGGUGCCGCGCUCGGGAGCCCCUCGGUGCUCCCAGGCGCGACUGCAGCUGUUGGCUGCUCUGUGGUCUGGGGGGCCGCAUCCCCAGAACCGCGGGCAGGCUCGCCCGUCCCUUGGCUGGCAACCUGGCCGGGGUCGACAUCCGACGCCGCACUACAGGAACAAAAGUCAAAUUUCAAAAAAAAAAAUCAAAGAGGAGUCCAAAAAUACGUAAGUCGAACACUUACAGGUCUGAUCGACGGUGGGUGGCGGUGAACCUCCUCCUCGCCCGGCCGGUCGGCACCUGCGCCCCCGUCUCGACAACUUGCGGUGCAGGGGCGUCGCUGGCCACUCGAUCAGUAGCGGCCGACGCAUUAUCUGGGCGACCCCGGGGCCGUCGGACCAACGAUGGCGCAGCCUCCUCGUCGUCGUCGUCGUCGUCAACGAUCCGCACGAGCCGACGACGCUUCGGUGCUUGGCUGCUCUCCGCCGGAAGAUCCGCCGGCAAAGGAUCUGCCGGCAAUGGCCUCUUCCCCGCUACCCUCUCCUCGGAGGUCGGGAUGGGGCGGGCUUGGUCCUCUUCACUGCUGGUGUAAUGAGUACACCGAUCAGCGUCCUCCUCUGGCGGGUCUUCUCCCGCAGGAUUUUCCAUCCCCGGUGCCAGUGAUACAUACACUGUGCACCGGUCGACACCGCCGAUCUGCAAAAGCAACAGAGAUGAGUCAACUGCCGACGAUAUACGAAUGCUAAAACAGAAUCUGCUACAUACCUUUGGUGCUGGUCGUCCUAACUUGAAGGCUUGCACCCGAUCACUGCCACGGAUGAAGCCUCCGUCCGCGAAGUUAAACAGCUCGUUCAACAGCUGUUGUACCUCCGCUUUCUCCAAGAUCUCCGACCGCAUCCUGGUCGGGUCUGCGCUUCCGGCAUACUCGUACGCCGAGUGCACCCUCUUCUGGCAGGGCAUCACCCGGCGGCAAAUGAAGUUGCCGACCACGCCAAGCCCGUCCAGGCGCGACCAGUCGAUCAGCUUCAUGAGAUCCGCCACUGGACCGUCGAACUCCGGGCGGUCGGUCCAGCUCGUCCUCUUCUCAGGAAUGUAUCCCACGUCGCAGAACGUGGAGCUGCCCGGUUCCUCCCUGAUGUAGAACCACUUCCUGUACAUUCGGUCAAGGAAGUGUUCCAUGGACAGUGCAGGUAGCGAUUCUUCAUUCCAUCACGAAGGUUGAGGUAUACUCCACCUGCAACCUUGGAGCCUCCAACUGCUCCCUUCUUCCUCAAGCAGAAAAGAUACCGGAAAAGAUCGAAGUGCGGCUCUAUGCCAACAUAGGCCUCGCACAGGUGGAUAAAGGUGGAAAUGAGGAGAAUUGAGUUCGGGUGCAGAUUGCAAAUCCCGAUCUCGUAAUACAAAAGAAGACCUUGAAGAAAAGGAUGAACAGGAACACCAAAACCCCUCUUAAUGAAAUCUUCAAAUACGACGAUCUCACCGGCACGAGGGUCAGGGUAGCUCUCCCCCUCCGGUGCCCUCCAGCCGCCGAGCUCCGGGCCGUGCAGAAGCCCCAUAUCGACGAGGUCACCAAGAGAUUUUGUGGUGCUGCGAGACUUCUUCCACUCCUUGGCCAUCAGUUCGGCCCUCUUCCUAGAGUCGCUCUUCGCCAUUAGAGGUGCGAAUGUGGGCUUGAGUUAGGAAGAUGCAGGAGAUUGGAGAAGAUGAGAGCGGAAGGUUUGAAGGCAAUGGCAGGGUAAGCGGUACAGGCGGACCUAUUAGGCUCUUAUCAGCCCGCAACUCCACCUCUCCCACUUCCUGUAUUCUCGGGAAGUGGGCAGGCCAUGCGGCGGACGCGGCGUUUCGGUUUACAAUGAUUAUAGACAAUUAAUGCGGCGGAUUUUUCGUACCAAUUGAUGGUUUCCUUUUCUCAAACCAUGCAAAGGCGGUUGCACAAGUUGCCAGGCGCAACUUUUCAUGCAUCCGUCUGACACCCCGUCAGGAGGCCUCGUCACGUCAAUUCAAAAAAAAAAAAACAAGACGACACAUACGCCAGAAAGUCAACAAUCCGGGGACUGCACCGACCAUCGGGCAUUCGACGCUCGGGGACUGGUCGCCCAGUCUAUCAGCUCGGAAUUUCAAGGACUGCGCCGACCACCGAGCACUCGACGCUCGGGGACUGGUCGUCCAGUCUAUCAGCUCGGAACUUCAAGGACUGCGCCGACCACCGAGCACUCGACGCUCGGGGACUGGUCGUCCAGUCUAUCAGCUGGAAGCUUUAAAGGACUGCGCCGACCACCGAGCACUCGACGCUCGGGGACUGGUCGUCCAGUCUAUCAGCUGGAAGCUUUAAAGGACUGCACCGACCACCGAGCACUCGACGCCCGGGGACUGGUCGCCCAGUCUAUCAGCUAGACGCUUUAAAAAACUGCACCGACCACCGAGCACUCGAUGCUCGGGGACUGGUCGUACAGUACAGCGACACAGGAUUCUAAAAAACACUUGGUGCUUGGUGACUGGUCGAUUAAUCUAUUCAAUUGCAGUCAGACUGGUAAAUUCCACUUUUUAGACCUUGCUACAAGGUUCAUACUUCGCCUUCCAGCAAGCUCGGGGACUACAUCGGUACGAUGCAUCUGACGAUGCAUCUCAGUUACAGAAUUUCUUUGAGGACUUUUGUUUUGACCCUGGCACCACGUGCCUGCGUCACCUACUACCAGGCUCGGGGACUAAGUGGGCACACUUCACCUUGCGGUGAAUUUGCUUGCUUUUUUGACGUUUAUACCUUUCAAAAAAGUAAAGUGGGCACACUUCACCAGGAAAGAAAUCUUUUUUGAUUUAGAGCACCAUGCAUUCUUCGAACAACCUGCUUCUUUGAACCUGCUUCUUCAAUGUCAAUGUUGAUCAAUUGUCUUUUGAGUUGGUCAAAAUACCGUUGCAACUGUUCGGGCAACUUUCCUGAAGACAUCAAGCCUCACUGAUCGAAGAAGCUCAAGACGGCGUGUUACACCAUAAUACAUGGUGCUCGGGGACUAGCUGUGGGGGUAUAAACCCCUAUACCCUUACGGCUGGACUUGGGCCAGGAGGCUUGGCCCAUUACGAGACGAGUCCAAAGCUUGAUCCGACAACCUGGAGUUCCGCGCAAGGAAACAAGAUGUGGAGAUCAAGCAGGAUUCUGGUCGGUUAGAAUAGGAAUUGAUAUCGAAUUAUCCAUGGCAAUUGUAACCGACUAGGAUUAGUUUCCAGAUCUGUAACCCUGCCCUCCAGACUAUAUAAGGAGGGGCAAGGGACCCCCCUAGGACACAUCAUAUUCUCUCAACACAAAUCAAUACGACCAGACGCAGGACGUAGGUAUUACGCCAACUCGGCGGCCGAACCUGGAUAAAAAGCUUGUCCGUGUCUUGCGUCACCAUCGAGUUCGUAGUUUGCGCACCGUCUACCGAUAAACUACUACCGUGGGUAUACCCCAAGGUAGACUGCCGACUAGCUUUCGUCGACACCAAGGAACGUAAAAGACGUACAGAAACUCACAGGAUGCAUGGAUGCUCUUAGCCUUCCCUUCUUUAAACUACUAAAUGCAUCCGAAAAGUUCACCUGGACAUAGGAAGUCGAUGCAACAUUUACGCAACUUAAAGCUUUCCUCACGUCUCCCUCGGUCCUCACCAUGCCUCAGCCUAACGAGAUCCUACUUCUAUAUAUCGCGGCCACUGAUCAUGUUGUCUCAAUGGUGCUCGUGGUCAAGCGCGAAGAGCCAGGCCAUGUUUACAAGGUCCAGCGACCAGUAUACUUCAUAAGCGAGGUCUUAAAUGAGUCCAAGACCAGGUAUCCCUAGAUAUAGAAGUUGAUCUACGCCAUCCUAAUCACUUCCAAGAAAUUAAAACACUAUUUUGAUGGUCACCACAUCAUGGUGACGACAAGUUUUCCAUUGGGGGACAUCCUGCGCUCAUACAUCGUUUCAGGAUCCUAAACAGCAUAAUCACAGACUUGGGGACUCAGUUCACCGGCACUACAUUCUGGGACUUCUAUGAUGACAGGGGCAUAGUCAUAAAGUAUGUAUCGGUAGCUCAUCCCAGGGCCAACGGACAAGUCGAGCGGGCCAAUGGUAUGAUCUUGGAUUCUUUAAAAACAAUAUUGUACAGAGAAAACAACAAAGAAGCAGGAAGAUGGAUGAAGGAAUUCCCAGCCGUGUUCUGGGGUCUGUGAACACAACCUAGUUGGAAUACGGGCGUGUCCCUAUACUUCAUGAUAUAUAGGGCCGAGGUGGUUCUUCCUACCGAUAUGAAGUUCGGAUCUCUGAGGGUCCAGCAUUUUGAUCAGCUUUCAGUAGACAACACCAGGGAAGUCGAAAUCAAUUGCAUGGAGGAACACGGCUAGAUUCUUGCAUCCAAACAGCUAAGUAUCUCGAUAUCCUACGACGAUACUAUAAUCAGAAUGUCAAGGAGUGUUCUUUUGUGGUCGGAGAUUUGGUACUGAAGUGGAAGACAAGCCAGAAAGGGAUGCACAAACUAUCCACGCCUUGGGAAGGCCCCUUCAUGGUCACAAAAGUCACACGUCCCACUUCUUACAGAUUGGCCUAUCCGGGUGGAACAAGCUUGCCUAACUCGUGACAUAUAGACAAGCUACGAUGUUUUUAUCCUUAGACAAGCACAUGUCAUAUGUAUUUUUCUUAUGAUUUAUGACAAGUAUCAGUUUUUUAUUCAAACUUCUUACAUGCAGAACUCUCAUCGAGUGUGGUCUCUCCUGUUCUUGACACUCAAGUUUGAUAACAAAACUAAGCUAGGCGGUCGGUCACCCUCACUCAGUUAUACUUCACUCAAACAAGAUAUUCACAGCGCUUAACCAUGGUUUACAAACUAAAACUUUAUUAUAAGCUUUCUCAGCAAAGUUUACAAUAAAAGCCUCUCUGGGCGGUCCUAGUCUACACCUAUAGGCUACGCUGGUGGUCGCUGCUCACGCAGCUCGCUAGCACGCGCCCCUGGCACCGUUGAGGAGGUCGGGGCCACCGUUGCCUAGCUGGUCGAGACUGUAGGCGCUGAUCAUCCAUCUCCUGCCGCAGACGACUCUAACCACUCCCUGGUCGACCUAUCUGAACUCGACUCACUUGACAGAGCAGAAGUCCCACAGAGAUUAAUGUCGCCAAUCACAGUUGACGACAGGUCCAGCAGGCUGACUCAAAGGUCAUCUGCCUCCUUCGGACCAACCUCUUUUGGGUACCCGCUCUAUAAGCAAGAUAAGUCGACCAGGGGGUAGUGGGCGCGUACCAUGCUCCGCACAUGUGCUCCGGCAUACUCCCCAGCAUUCUUAACAAAUUGGUGAAGCCAGCCCCACGUGCGUUGUGCUUUUUCAAUUGGACCAAGAUUUUGCGCACGGGGCUGGUCCUCGAGAAGCUCUGGGCUGAUAAGGUCGAGCACUGGGGCCACACCUUUCCAGACCCGGAGGCAUUUAUUAUUCCACGAAUCCUGGUCCUUGACCAAAUCCUCGAGAUGCUUCUAAGUAUUAAUUUUUAGCACUGCAACAAAGACAAAAAGGAAGUUUCUAGUCAAUGCUAGGACAAAGAAUCUUCGACCACUCGACAACUCUAGUCUUACCUGUUAGUUCUCGGUUUUUUGUUCUCAAUUCUUUCUCAAUCUUCCUCUCACUUUCCAAGACAUGGGCGCUCUCCUGGUCGAGUUGGUCUUUCUCCCUCUGAAUGCGUUCCAUCUCUUCAACCGGACCUACAGUGGUAGAACACUGCGGUAAUUUAUAGUCUUACUUCUCUUUUCUCUAUCCUUCUUGGCUAAUCGCCAAGACAGAUCGGCCAUCUGCUCCUCUUGAGCAGACCUAUCCUUUGAGGCCUUCUCGACCUCUAGCCAAAGCCGGUCUACCUCGUCGCUUAGGGCUUUAUUCUCGGCCAUGACUCCCUCAAUCUGGUCGAAACAUCUUUUAUGAUAUUUCGCCGUCUUCAUUACGUCUUGUGGGUUUCAAACACACGUGCACAUAAGCUUUCAUAACAAGGCUACAUUUGCACCAUUCAUUUUCAAGUUUGGAAGGCGCUUACCUUAACUUCACUGACGAGGCGUUUGGCAGCUCGCUCUACUCUGUCUGCCUCCUUGACUUCUGCAAUCUCCUUGUGGCUAGCCUAGUGAUCCCCACGUGGACGCUAGACAUAAAUAUGUUGGCGCCCAUCACGAGGAUGCCCCUGGAUCUCUUCCACCUCCUAGUCGGAGCUUGCCUGGGCCUCUUCAUCUCGUGUGCUCCUUCCCACCAUAGCGGAAGGAGCCAUUGGGCCUUUUCCCCGGUCAGGGACGUCGAGUGGCAUCACCGACUGGUCGGACGGCUCCUCCAUGCGAGCAGGGGAGGGAGCUCUGGCCAUCUCCUCUGGUGCGCUGCUCGGUGGGGGGCACCUGCAUCAACUUCCUCCCUAGUCGAGGAGGUCGCAGGCUGCAUAGGGGCCUGCUCCAUGAUGGGUGGCUCUAAUGGUUUUGAACUCCCAAUAGCGUUGGGGUCAACAUCAGAGGCCGCACUACAAUUUUUUCAUUAAAUCAAUCAUAGUUGUCUGAGCAUUAACACAAUGGAAAAUUGUUUUCUUUCUUAACUUACAGGUCAGAGGAUCUGUGCGAUGUGGAAAAAACUCUACGUUUGGCGCGUCCUGCAGCCGCCGUUGGCCGCGGCUGAUCUAGGCGCGCCUGCUCAUCAGCAGCCUACACGAUGGGCGGAUCUUCCGCAGGUUGUGAGCUCGGCGUCGGGACUAUCUCAAGGUGUCUUCGUGACCUGUGGACUAGGUCUAGGGCCGCUUCUUCUUCUUCCUCGUUGUCAUCAAGAACUUGAAGCAUCCGGCGAUGCUUCGGUGCUUGGGAUCCGAAAGCCGAGCCUUGGCCGGUCGAUAGGUCUUGGGCCGACUUUGAUGGUGCUCCUCCUCCUCGGGAUGGCCCUCUGGUUGCCGGUCUCUUUCCCAUGACUCUAUCAUAGGUGGUCGGCGCCACCUGGUCGGCAUCAUCAUCGCUGCUGGUGUAUUGAUAACACCGAGCAGCAUUCUCCAUGGGCGGAUCUACUCCCGCUGGGUGCUCCAUGCCGGGCGCCAGUGACACAUACACUGACGCGAAGUCGAUGUCUCCAAUCUGCAAAAUAGUGGUAGCAAUUGAUCAGUGGGUAAAGAUGACAAUGAAUAAAUUUGCAAGUUGUGUAAACUUAUUGCUUACCUUUGGAGCUGGUCGAGCAAGCUUAUAUGCGUGCAUCCGGUCAUCACUCUGCACAAAGCUGUUGUCUGCGAGAUUGAAGAGCUCGCUGAUCCGAUGAUGGAUUUCGGUGUUCUCCAGGUUUUCCUUGAGCAUCCUGGUCGUGUCCUCGCUCCCCAGGUAUUCGUACCCCGGGUGUACUCUCCUCUGGCAUGGCUGCACUCGGUGGCUGAGGAAGUUCCCGACCACACCAGGUCCAUCCACAUGCGACCACUCGAUUAGGUUCAUCAGCUCUUCGACCUGCCCAGUGCAUUCUUCAUCCCAUCGCUAAGAUUGAGGUAUACUCCACCAGCAAUCUUGGAUCCUCCAACUGCUCCUUUCUUCCUCAAGCAAAACAAAUAGCAAAACAAGUCAAAAUACAGCUCUAUCCCCGCAAAAGCAUCACACAGAUGAAUAAAAGUGGCAACAAGAAGGAUGGAGUUGGGAUGUAGGUUACAAAUCCCAAUCUUGUAAUAGAGAAGCAGACCCUGAAGAAAGGGAUGAACUGGAACCCCGAAACCCCUCUUAAAGAAGUCUUCAAAAAUAACAAUCUCACCGGCUCUUGGAUACGGGAAGCUUUCUCCUGACGGCUCCCUCCAGUCGUCGAGUUCUUGGUUAUGCAGAUGCCCCAUCUCGACAAGCUCGUUGAUGGACUUCGCAGUGGACUUGGACUUCUUCCAUUCUUUUGCCAUCAUCUCAGCUCUCUUCUUCGAGUCACUCUUGGCCAUUUCGCUAAGGUGGGUGUGAUUUGGAUCUACCUCAUUGGCAAGGCGCAAGGAGGAAGAAGGCAAAUGGCUAGUGGACGCAACUGCUAGGUGCAAAUCUAGUAGUACGCUGCUUCGGCUAUUUAUCACGGGGCAACCACCUCUUUCACUUCCCGCAUCUUAGGGAAGUGUGUGGUUUCUAUGGCAAAAAUGUCGUUUCAGUUUCCAAUUUCGUCGCAAUAAAGCUGCCGCAUUUUUAAAUGAUUGUUGGAGCUACUUUUGCUUCGGUUCCCGUGUUGGGCGACUUGGUUGCUAGUGGCACUUCUUUUCACACACCGGACUGACAUUUUGACAGUGUUGACAAGAUGGGCUGACGCUCCGUCACGUCGCGAAUUAAUUGACAAAAGGAUGUGAAGACUAAAAGUUCAAGUGAAGGGUUUAUUAAGCUCCAAAGCUCGUCUGAUCCUACGUAGUGUUUGGGGACUGUAUCGACCACCGAGCACGCUUAUGGUUACCAUCCACGCUCGAGGCCUGGUCGACCAGCCUCUAUAAUAAAAUUGGGGACUGUACAGACCACCGAGCACGCUUAAGGUUACCAACCAUGCUCAGGGACUGGUCGACCAGCCUCUAUGAUAAAACUGGGAACUGUAUCGACCACCGAGCACGCUUAUGGUUACCAACCAUGCUCGGGGACUGGCCGACCAGUCUAUGCAACGUGCUCGAAAACUAUGCAGACCAUCGAGCACGCUUAUGGUUACCCUCCAUGCUUGGGGACAUCUCUUUUCAGUUACAUACGAAUCGGACCCAUAUACAACUGAGGGAUGAUUUUGAUUUUUUAGACCUUGCUACAAGGCUCAUACUUCGCCUUCCAGCAAGCUCGGGGACUACAUUGAUACGAUGCAUCUAGCGAUGCAUCUCAGCAUCAGAAUUUUUACAUAGACUUUUCUCUUCAGACCCUGCCACCACGUGCCUACGUCACCUACUACCAGACUCGGGGACUAAGUGGGCACACUUCACCUUGCGGUGAAUAUGCUUGCUUUAUGAAAGCAUGUACUUUUCCAAAAAUAAAGUGGGCACACUUCAUCAGGAAAGAAAUCUUUUCUGAUUAAGAGCACCAUGCAUUAUUCGAACAACCUACUUCUUUGAUGUCGAUGUUGAUCAACUGUCUUUUGAGUUGGUUAAAAUACCAUUGCAACUGUUCGAGCGAUUUUCCUGCUGGUCGAAGACGUCAAGCCUUACUGGUCGAAGAAGCUCAAGAUGGCGUGUUAUAUCAUAAUACAUGGUGCUCGGGACUAGCUAUGGGGGUAUAAACCCCUAUACCCUUACGGCUAGGCUUGGGCCAGGAAAUUUGGCCCAUUACAAGACAGCUCGAGGCUUGAUCCAACUACCUGGAGUUUCACGCAAGGAAACAAGAUGUGGGGAUCAAGCAGGAUUCUAGUCGGUUAGAAUAGGAAUUGAUAUCAUACUAUUUAUGGCAAUUGUAACCGACUAGGAUUAGUUUCCAGAUUUAUAACCCUACCCUCUGGAUUAUAUAAAGAGAGGCAAGGGAUCCCCUUUAGUUCAAUUCAUUACAUCUCAGAUCAAUACAAUCAGACGCAGGACGUAGGUAUUACGCCCACACGGCGGCCGAACCUGAUAAAAUAAUUGUCUGUGCCUUGCAUCACCAUCGAUUUCGUAGCUUGCGCACCUGUCUACUGAUAAACUACUACCGUGGGUAUACCCCAAGAUAGACUGCCGACUAGCUUUUGUCGACACCUAGUAUGAGGAUCUUUUUUAGCUUGUUAGUGGUUACUCGAAAGGGCACAAAAGGGUCUUGUCGACUCGAGUAUAGUACGACCUUUGUCCCUAUGUGUAUAGGCUACACGUCGUUGUGCUAUUCAAAAGGGGAAUUCUGCAUCUACUCGCCUAUUGGAAACCUAGCGGCCCUAACUUGUUAGAUGAACCUUUAGAAGGCUUCAUAGUGAACCCUGUCGACGUCUCUAGGAAGGGGGCUAAGAGACUAGCUACCUCGAAUGGAAGGGUAAAUCACGACAAAGAUGUACAACCUGUGCAGAGUGUUUAAUAAACUGGUAUAAUAGUUGUGCUCACGGACACAAGCGGCUUUCGAGACAUUUACAUUAAAAAUGAUGAUUCUUGUUAUGUUAAGUGCUCAUUAACUUACCGUUUAUGUCUUACGUUAAUUAUGUUUACAUUGAUCAUCUGGUUAUGGGAAUAUUUGCUACCUUGUUGCUACUACUUAUUAAACAUCUUAUUUACCUAAAAGCUACUUGCAGUUUAACCGGUGUAAGCUAAUUGAGCCAUAUGAACCCCUUGCUAUAUUUGAUGAGUACGACAUGUGCUCAUCCUUGCUAUUUUUCACACCAGUCUCUAGCAAAAGUUGCUCAGAAGAUGAUAAUAUUACGGAGUUCAUAGAGGACUGAUAGAAGUACCAGGCAUAUGUUACCCCCAGUCAACCGUCUCUGUGAAGAUUGAGCCUCAAGAUUUAGUUACCAUUCUGUGAUACCGUAAUGCAAGUGUUAAUAUGACUACGUAUACAUUAUUUAAUAACAUUGUUUUUAAUACAAUUCACUCUAUUGUUGUAUGUGUAGACUUUCUGGACACACAUAUGGAUAGCCUAGUUUUGUUCUUUAAAACUAGUGUGAUAAUUUUAACUCAAACAUUAUAAUACAUAAAUAAUUGUAAUUUAAUGUUAAGCGCUUUGUGUUGUGGAAAAAUGAUGUUAUAAUACCAUUAUAAAAGAUAAUAUAAAGUAACAUAUUUAGAUUUGUAUCUAAAUUGUCUAUAUCUAACUCUUAUUUCAAUGGCUUAUCAAAACAAAGUUUAAAUAACAACAAAGAACGAAUAUGUUUCUCAUUGUUCAUUUUAUAAAUACUAAUACUAAUACAAUAAAAAUGAUUAAAGUAAACAUACAUAUUAUGCCAACAUGCAAAUCACACACACAUACUUAAGAUAUAUAUUUUACAUAUUUUAAAUAAGAUAUUUAACAUAUCUAUAUUGAUAAUAUAACUAUUAUUACAUAAAAAUUGAGUUGAUAAAAAAAUCAAACAACUUGAAAAAAAGGAUGAUGUUAGUAUAAACCAUAGGUGCUUACUUUUUCCCCAUCGUAAGUGACAUGGUGUAGGCUUAAAAAUUAAUCAUAAGUGACAUGGUGUAGGCUUCAAAAUUAAUGAUUACUUUUUCCACAUCAAAUUCCAUCACUAAUCAUAAGUGACAUGGUGUAGGCUUAAAAAUUAAUGAUUACUUAUGUCAUCAUGAAUACAAACAUUUAAUCCGAAGGUUCUAACCCCGUGCGGAGCACGGGUUAACAGACUAGUUUAAAUAAUUCGUAUUUUUUAAUAUGUUUCCACCGCAAAACUUUACAAUGCCCGCUACUUUCGUUCCAUUAGAAAUAUAGCUUCUCCAAUAAUCUGACAAAUGAUUUCUCAUCCAUAAUUUUUUUAGCAAAAUAAGAAAAAAUCCUCUUCAACACUUUGGUAUCUCAAUUCCCCAUGUUUUCUAACUUGGCAUAUCUCCCUAUCUAGUGCGCAAAUAUGUGCGCAGGCUUCAUACUUGGUAUCACUCUUUCUUUUCAUACUUAGCCGAGCUCUUCAUUCGCUUACACUACUACAUAAAACUUUUUGCCAGGCGGGCAACGUAAGGUCAUGGUAAAUCACUGAUUUGCUGAGGCGUAUUAGUUGCCCGCCUCGUUUAAUGAAAAUAAAAAAAUAAAAAGGCCCAAAUUCAAACUGGGCUUGGAUCAGGGCCUCACGCUGCUGCCCUUCUGCGCCGCCGCCGCCCCUGCGCAUCGCCGUCGCCGCCACAAAGCUCUCUCCCACCGGAUCCUGCUCCUCCUCGUCGGAUCCGAUGUCCUCCUCGCUAGAUCCACCAGUGUUGGAGGUGCUCCACCUCUCUGAGCACCCCAUUGUGGUCAGCUCGACGGUGAGGGAGGGUCGCCACCACCAUUGCCGUCUCGAGCACCCCCAUCAAAUCCAUGGACGGUGAGAGAGGGGCGCCACCACCGUUGUCGUCCCGAGCACCCUGCACGCAGGGCCCUCGCGCACAGGGCCGCUAUCAUCCGGCCGCUGAUGGCCUAGCCGCCACACACCGAAGAGCCGUUGUGGCUGCACUGUGUGCCCUGCCAUGGCUCGCCUGCCGCUGAUAUAGUGCCUGCGCGCCGGAGAUGGGUGGGGAAGCUUGUGCGUCCGGCUAAGGAAGUCUGCCGGGGAGAGAGGGAAGAGUGAGGAGGGAGGCGCUUGUGAGAGAGGGAAGGACUGAGGACGGAGGCACCGCUCCACACUGGAGAUACGGUGGGGGAGCGAGCGCUGAAUGGGGAAGAGGGGUUAAGUGCGGCUUGGAGAGGGAGGGAAGGUGAGUGGGUUAGGGUUUUCCUUCGUAUAUAUACUCAAAGAUAGAAACUAGGCUUAUGGGCUUUGUCAAUAGUAACUGGGCUCAGCCACUAUUAACCGAGGCGGGCUUUUGUAAGAGGUCCGCCUCAAAAAUAGAGGUAUUUUUGGAGACGGGCCUCUUAUAAUGACCGCCUCGGUUAAUGGAUUUUAGUAGGCGGUUAUUUUUAACCGCCUCGGUUAAUAAAAAAUAACCGCCUCAAUUAAUCCAAGCAUUCACCCAGGCGGUUGGAAGUGUUGUCCGCCUCCGAAAAUAAUUUCAAAACAUCUCGUAAAAGAUUUUUUGUAGUAGUGUUAGUGGGGCUCUUUAUUUCAUUAACGGGUAUUUGGGUUUUUGAAACAAAAUUUGCUAAAAUAUGAGAUCUUUUUAUCCUCCCUAUAUAUUAUUUUGGAAGUUGACAAACAAUAAGAUUUGGGAAAUGAAUUUUGCCAAAGAGAUGCUCUUAGUACUCUAGUAGUAAGUACCAUACCCUUGAAAAAACAAAAACCUAUAUAAAUAGAUGGUGCCACAGUGAUGAAUGCAUCCCAGAACAAAGAACCUCCACUCCACGACGUACACAAAUGGCAGGGGCCGAGGACAGCACUCAAGACUUGCUCCAAGCUCAUCUUCAGCUGCUGCACCAGUCCCUCGGCUACAUCAGCUCAACUGCGCUCGCCGUUGCCUUGGACCACGGCAUUCCAGACGCCAUCCAGCAUCACGGCGGCAGCGCCACCCUUUCGCAGAUACUAGCCAAGAUCGAUGUCAGCCCAACAAAGCGCCGAGGCCUGCAUCGCCUCAUGCGCAUGCUCACCGUCACAGGUGCCUUCAGCGUCGACCAGCGUCCAGCCGUCGCCGUCGCCGCCGCACCACACGAUGGUGGGCGGCGCGGCGAUCCUGUCUAUCAACUGACGGCAGCCUCCCGUCUCCUCCUCAGCGACGACGACGACGGGAUCCGCCACCCCGCGAGCCUGACUCCUCUCCUGACCAUGCUGCUCGGUCCUCUGCUUGCCUCGCCGCUCGCCGCCGUGGUGAGCGCGUUGGUCCGGGAGGACCGGCAGCCGGACCUGUCGGCGUUCGGGAUCGCGCACGGACAGACCGUCUGGGACGACGUGGCCGACCACGAGGCUGCCUUCAACGUCUCCCUCCACGACGCCAUAGCCGCCGACACACGCUUCCUUAUGCCCAUCGUCCUCAAGGAAUGCGGCGAGGUCUUCCGGGGGAUAGACUCGCUGGUGGACGUCGGCGGCGGACCGUAUGGGAGUGCCGCUGCUUCCAUCGCGGCGGCGUUCCCGCGUCUCAAGUGCAGCGUGCUGGAUCUCCCCCAUGUUGUUGCCCAAGCUCCACCUGAUAGCAGCGUGCAGUUCGUCGCGGGCAACAUGUUCGAGUGUAUUCCACGUGCAAAUGCUGUUUUCCUCAAGGUACUGAUAUACUAUGUAGUAUUAUAUAGUCGAUCUAGCCACGGUAUCACUUGUCUACGACAAUAAUUUGACUAACUUGAUGUUUUUACUAAUUUUAUUUUAUUUAGUGGAUUUUGCAUGACUGGGGCGAUGAUGAGUGCAUCAAGCUCUUGAAAAGAUGCAAGCAAGCCAUCCCUCCACGGGAUGCUGGAGGAAAAGUAAUAAUAAUCGAUAUGGUACUGGGAUCAGGACCAGCAGACGACGUCAAGCAUAAAGAGACGCAAGUGUUAUUUGAUCUCCUAAUGAUGGCGCUUAAUGGAGUUGAGCGAGAUGAGCAAGAGUGGAAAAAGAUUUUCCUAGAAGCAGGUUUUAAGGACUACAAAAUUAUACCAGUUCUAGGUGUCCGAUCCAUCGUUGAGCUUUAUCCUUAAAUGCUCUUUGAUCAAGACCUUCGAAAAGUAAGCGAGUGUUGAACAAAGCACAAGAAGUUAACAAUCUAGAAGAAUAAAAAACGUUAUUAUAUUUUCCUAGUAUGCUAUAUAUAUUAUAUAUACUAGUACAAUGCACGAUCUCGUCAAUAAACUUGGUAUGUAUAAGUGGAUUUAGUAUAUACUAAGUCGAGACUUGUGUAUUAUUCAGCAUUUCCAUAAGCUCGGCGCUCUGUGUACCAGAAAAUAACUCAGUUGUGAUCAUCAUGUGGCUUGACUUUCCAUGUACUUCUUUGCAAUAAAUAUUAUAUAUUUGGUAUAUAUACCUCUAAUGUUAUAUAUUUAGUAUAUAUUUUUUUCAGAGGUGGCUCACAAUUUGGCUCUCCUCUAAAAAUAGGUGGACCAAAAUAAAAUUGCUACUUUUUGACAAUCAAGUCGAAUGAAUACUAUUUUUAUAUCAAACUUGUACUACUCGAAGGGAUCUAAAGCUUUGUGUACUCAACGAAUUUUACAUUUGAAAUAAUUUAAGGCCCCAAAAAAUAUUUUAACAUAAUUUGAAGAAUGUCAAUAUUUUUUCAAAUCAAUUCAGAUGGGGAAGCAAUCUAGACCAAAGUUAAUUAUAGUACUUGAAGGCAUCUCCAACUGUAUAGUUGACUAUUUUUUAUUUGGAUUCAUGUAGUGCCUAGAAAUUCUAUUUAAAAUUUUAGAUUUUGAUUUUUUUUAUUUUCAGUGUACCUCAGAUGGAGAAGUGACAUAAACUAUUUUAUUACUUGAAAUUAUGCAACUUCAUAGUAUACAACAACCUUUUAAUUUGAAUCAUUUUGGAUCUAGCUAGAAAUUCUAUUUUUGAAUUAAUGAUUCUUAAUAUUUUUUUGAUUUUUUUAAAAAAAUAAACAAAAGUUGUAGUACUCGAAGAGGUCUCACACUUUCCAGUUCAAACUUUUUUCAUUUGAUUUCAUUUAGGGUCUCAAAAAUACAUUACAAUAUUUAAUAAAGUGAAUAAAAUAAAUGUAUCUGUUACAUGGUCAUAAGGAAUUUUGAGGUCCUCCAACAGCUUUCUAAUUAGAUCUUGAAAUACUAACAUCAUCGCUAUUUCUGAUUUCUCACUACCUAAAAAUAGAGAGCUGAGCUAAUAUUAUUCUCCCAAGUAGGGAUGAAAACGGAUCAGAUACGGACGGAUAUCAUCUAUACCACAUUUGGUUUUAUAUUUUUGGUCGAAUUCGGAUUCGAAUACGGAUAAUAUCAAUCCUGUCGGAUAAGAUAUAAUUGGAUGUCGAUAUCAUAAAUAUACGAUUUAAGUAUUCGGAUACGGAUAUGGUAUCGGAUGUUGAAUAUUCGGACUCGGAUACGGACAGACCUAAACUCCUCUAAACAAAUUCGGUGACGAAUACGGUCGGAAAAUAUUUGUACCAUUUUCAUCCCUACUCCCAACUUCCCAAGUGUGUCUCAGCUCUAGCUCUAUGAUGUGAUGCUGGAUUUGUAAUUUGUAUACUAAAUUAGAGUGGUUUAAAUAUUUACAUUUAAUCUAAAAUAAAAAUAAAUAAGUCACGUAAAUACACAUUACGUGCCUACAACUCCAGAUUCAGGAUUUCCUAGAGUUACGAGUGACCGGUACUAGGAAAUCCAUAUAUUUCCUAGAGCUAGAGCUUUGCCUCAUAUAGAGCUCUUGAACGGUGUUAAGAUAUAUGAAAACUUUUUUAUGAGAAUGACUCUCCAAAUAAGGAUUAAAAGAGUGAACUAAGGAAAGAGCGUUGGAGAUGCUCUAGGAACCUCAAUUCAAGGAAAUUACGCGUGUCAAAGUCGUUGAGUUAAAUACUUAUACUUAAAUCGCCGAAGAGAGAAAGGGAAAGAGAGCUUGCGGAUGCAACUUCGCUGGCUAGUAGCGUCAAUUACGAACGGUACAUAUACCGGUACCGUUGGUUGUUAUGGAUGUGCACAAGUUUACUCCAUUGAUUGGACGGCCUGAGAAGCCUUGUCUACUUAUAAAUAAUUAAAUACCACCCCAGCCAACUCCUCCAUUGUACCAGCUUAUCCAUCCCUUGCAUGCAUUAGGCCUUGUUUCUUGUUUAGUUCCCAUGCAAAAAGUUUCUGACCUACUAUAGCACUUUUAUUUGUAUGAGGCAAUUAUUAUCUAAUCAUGGACUAACUAGGCUUAAUAGAUUCCUCACAAAUUACAAGUAAACUAUGAAAUUAGUUACUUUUUUAUCUAUAUUUAUGUGCAAGAUUUGAUGUGAUGAAGAAUCUUAAAAAGUUUUUGGAUUUUGGAAUAAUUCUUCAUCAUAUUAAAUCUUACGGCACACGCAUUGAGUACUAAAUAUAGAUGAAAAUAAAAAAUAAUUUAUGAAACAAAUCUUUUGAGCCUAGUUAGUUUAUAGUUGGACAAUAAUUAUCAAAUAUAAAUAAAAAUAUUAAAAUCCAAAAACUUUUCGAACUAAAAAGAGACUUAAAUAAGGCCUUAGCAGUCUUUACUCCCUGACUCUUUAGCAAGAGGGACACUGGGCACAGCUGAUUGAUGAUGUGGCGGAGGGGAUUAUGAAGCAGGCGGUCAUGGGCCUGGUCAUGGGCCUGGGAGAGGCACGAGUAGUACUGGAUGGGUAUGGUCGGAAAGUGUGCUGAGAGUCAGGGAACUGGAUGGGCUAGGCAGAGAAUAAUUUGCGAGAGAAUUUUUAAAAAUCUAAUUAGUUUAUUAUUAGAUACUAAUUGUCAAAUAAAUAAAAAUAUUAUAUCUGUUAAACUUUAACCCCUUUAAUUAAGUAUACUUGCAUAAUAAGUUAUUAAUAAAUAAAUAACUGCUUAUAUACUCGAACCUAUCCGGACUCGUAUUGCAUAUAUUCGGUGCUGACCUAACCACUCACAUAUGUGCACUGCAUGU
This 35809-nucleotide long non-coding RNA is filed under the name Sorghum bicolor (sorghum). Its description in RNAcentral is "long non-coding RNA (SBIC_LNC009148)". Lineage: Eukaryota; Viridiplantae; Streptophyta; Magnoliopsida; Poales; Poaceae. The record is from RNAcentral.